CCGGGUUCGAGUCCCGGGCAACCCAUAUGGAAA
This 33-nucleotide transfer RNA is filed under the name Sorghum bicolor (sorghum). RNAcentral describes it as "tRNA-Lys". RNAcentral also lists the same sequence under 3 other names. The record is from RNAcentral. Lineage: Eukaryota; Viridiplantae; Streptophyta; Magnoliopsida; Poales; Poaceae.